UGUUGCUAUUCAGUUUUCUAACUUAAAACAGCCUAUGAUAGCUGACAGCAAAAAAGGUCCUCGCAAUAGACUGCCUCUGCUUGAGAACUUAUGAUGUAAUCAUUGCAUGCUGCUAAUAUACUAUCUAAACAUUAAAGAUACUCCUAAAAUAUUUGAUGGUAGACUAUGAUUAAGACAUUACACUACAAAAAAAAAACCCUUAUGCAGAAGGAAAUCCUAAACUGAUGUGCUUCUGCUUUAAAUAUUGUGAAAACAUUACAGCGGAAUGGAUUUUAGCAGUGGUUAGGUCAAAUGCAGUUACAUCAUAGCAACAGUAUGUUUUGCACAAUUUAAGGCUUUGGCUGGUUCAUUAGUCAGCUUCUUCCUCUGAUUCUUCUUUUUCAGCAGUUUCUAGCCAAGUCACCCACUGAUUCACCUGGAACAAAGCCUUGCCUUUUCCUGGAAACUCUUGGGUUACAUCUUCUUUCCAAGUCAAGAAAGCUUCCUCUUCAAUAAUUUCCAUGUCAUAGAAGUGAACAAAAAAGGAGAGUAACAUGCCUUUUGGGAAGUUGCUGUUAUAACAGUGCACCUGUAGAGCAUACAGGGCACUGACCUGUAGAUUAACAAGAUCAUGAAGAAAUUUCUGCAUCACUGGCUUGAAGGAAAGCAGCAGUUGUUUUUCCUGCUCUAACUGUCCUUUGGAAGGAGCAGAGGAAGAAUGUUUCAUUGCUGGGUGGGCUUACUUCACUAGAAAUAUACUGUAAGAAGCUAGUCAUUAAGAUGUUCACAAAUCCUUUAUCUACAUGAAAUUUGGGAGAGAUGUUAUCUUUUAUCCACUUACAUAUGGUUUGAGGGGAUGGGUCCAAAUUUAUUUGCUUCAACAGUUACUUCUCCAAUUUGAGGAGUGGGAAUAAGAAACUCAGUCCCUUUCCUUCCCAAAUCUCCAACGUACUAUCCUUAUUCUGAUCAAUUUCUGGGAGCAUUUUCUGCAUAUUGACCUUGCUUUGUUGGAAAAGUUCUGUUAGCCAUUCUUGAUCUUGUAAUUUAGCUAAUUGCUGAAGAGAUUGGAAAAUGGGUACCACUUUCCAGUGGUUGAGCUAGUAUGAAAAUGUUCACCAGCUCUGAAAUGAUGGCACAAGCUGCAAACUGUGCUAAGUAUGAUUUUACCAAAGGGAUGUCAACCUCCAGUUUGGGGCACUGGUCCAAAACAUUCAGGAAAGCCAGCAUGAAGUUGCCACUUGUGGCAAUCCCUUCCUGUUUGAGUAAACUGAUCAAAGAACUUGCUUUUUCUUUAUCUUCAUCACUUCUGUCUAGUGACAGGAUGAUUACUUUGCUUAACAUCUCAGGAAGAAAAUGUUUAGGAGCUCUCAUUUCUCUUACACCAUUGACAGACUCAUUUGCAUUUCUACUAUUCAGAUACUCAGUCACAAUAGUUUCAGUUAGUUUAAGUAGUUCUUCCUUUGAUGGUGGUGGCUUUUUGCUUGUCUUGGCAGCCUUUUCCUGGAUAAGUGGUGGAUUAGUUUUGAGACUGAGCUGAGGUGUCUGUCCCAGAGGUGGUGUUUGAGUGCAUGGUGGUUGUGCACUAGUUAUCUAGUGGUUGUGCACUAGUUAACUAGCACAUAGUUAUCUGGGCCUGAAGCUUUGGCGCUUGAAUUUUAUUCAUCAGGAAUGACUGAGCAGGCCUCAAGGUAAUUUCAUCUGCAUUAAGCUGUCCUUUCUUAGAAAACUGAGGUGGCAUAUCCUUCGACUGUCCUUGCAGCUGGGAUAAGAGUCCCUGAUUCUGGUUAUGGUAGAGCUGGUUUAGCCCUUGGCUUUUCAUAAACUUGCCUUCUAUUUCUCCAAACUGUGACUGUGUGGGAGGCAUGAUGUGUCCCCC
This 1855-nucleotide long non-coding RNA is filed under the name Heterocephalus glaber (naked mole-rat). Its description in RNAcentral is "lncRNA (ENSHGLG00100051124.1)". The record is from RNAcentral. Lineage: Eukaryota; Metazoa; Chordata; Mammalia; Rodentia; Bathyergidae.